CCCCCCUCACAGCCUCGGAUAAACACAUCGACUGAACGACUGACACAUGGCCCCCCCUCACAGCCUCGGGUAAACACAUCGACUGAACGAUCCCCCCCUCACAGCCUCGGAUAAACACAAUGACUGAACGAGCCCCCUCACAGCCUCGGAUAAACACAAUGACUGAAUGAGCCAGAGCCCCCCUCACAGCCUCGGAUAAACACAACAACUGAACAAGCCCCUUCUCAGCCUCGGAUAAACACAAUGACUGAACGAGCCCCCCCCCCUCACAGCCUCGGAUAAACACAACUACUGAAUGAGCCCCCCUCACAGCCUCGGAUAAACACAACUACUGAAUGAGCCCCCCCCUCACAGCCUCGGAUAAACACAACGACUGAACACCUCUCUCCCUCUGUCCAUCUAACAGGGGCUGAGAUGCCAGAACGGCCUGAUCCGCCCGCCUACCAGGGACUUUUUAAACCUCUUUCUGUUCGUUGCCUUCUCCUCCCUGAAUGCAUCCCAAAUGGCACCCUAUUCCCUUUAUAGUGCUCUACUUUUGACCAAAGCACCUUGGGCCCUGGUGUAAAGUAGUGCACUACAUAGGGAAUAGAGUACUAGUUGGGCCACACAAGGCUCUCUCCUUAACAGUAAAGAGAGAGUUUCCAUCCUGGUACUUCUGAGAGGCUGCCUCAGGCUCUUCCAUCCUGGUACUUCUGAGAGGCUGCCUCAGGCUCUUCCAUCCUGGUACUUCUGAGAGGCUGCCUCAGGCUGUGUUUAGUGGGAGGGGCAUCAGGAUUGUGUUUAGUGGGAGGCAUCAGGAUCAGUAAAAGUUGUAUUGGUCGAUACCCCUCCCCUUCUCUUCACUAGACAACCAAUGCCAAGACACCGUACUCAAGGAACUUUUGUUUUCUGAGAUAUUUGUUUUCUUUUUUUUAGUAGUAUUUGUUUUUGAAAUGAGUCUAAACUUUGUCCAUUUUAUUGUGCCUUACAAGUGGGAUUAAUUUGAAUGUUUUUAAUGUUUUGUUUCUUUGAUGCGGCCUAUUGAUUUUGUGGUGAUAUUAAGUUUAAACGGUGUACUACUCCCUGAGGUACAGUAGUAUUUGCAGUGGUUUUCCUUUGGCUGCACUUCCCACUACUUCCUAUGACUUCCUGUUUUCCCUGUAGGGACUUCUAGAGUUUGGUGUUAAUGAGAU
Long non-coding RNA from Oncorhynchus tshawytscha (Chinook salmon), 1172 nucleotides. The record is from Ensembl. NCBI's taxonomy places the organism in Eukaryota, Metazoa, Chordata, Actinopteri, Salmoniformes, Salmonidae.